AAAAAGAAGUUACUCCAGAAAUUAAAACAGAAAAAAAAGGAAAAAGAAAUUAAUGCAAAACCUCUUUCUGCAAAAGCUAAGAAACAAGAAAAAAUAGAUUCUCUAAAGAAGCUAAAGCAGCAUAGGAAUACUAAGAUAGCUAAAAUGGACUCUACACUGAAAAUUAAGUCAUCAAAGGACUUCUUUUCUCGUCUGCAAGAGACAAAUACUUUGCAAAUGAAAAAGAAAAAAUGAAUAUAUCAGAGCAAGAUACGAAUAUAUGUAUAUAUUUUUUAAAUAUGUGAAUAAAAUGUAAUUUCAUAUUUAUAGUUA
Stegodyphus dumicola is the source of this 312-nucleotide long non-coding RNA. Lineage: Eukaryota; Metazoa; Arthropoda; Arachnida; Araneae; Eresidae. The record is from RefSeq and is a predicted model, not a curated record.